RNAcentral lists this ribosomal RNA (23 nucleotides) under Sarmentypnum exannulatum. Its description in RNAcentral is "partial 18S ribosomal RNA". The record is from RNAcentral. Lineage: Eukaryota; Viridiplantae; Streptophyta; Bryopsida; Hypnales; Amblystegiaceae.
GUGAUCCUGCGGAAGGAUCAUUG